RNAcentral lists this unclassified non-coding RNA (756 nucleotides) under Hevea brasiliensis (rubber tree). Lineage: Eukaryota; Viridiplantae; Streptophyta; Magnoliopsida; Malpighiales; Euphorbiaceae. The record is from RNAcentral.
AAUAAUUUGCACAUGAAGAUUUCAUCUAAUGAGAUACCACCCAGGCAAAGCUUUAGUGGAGCAAUCAACAUUUGAGUCAAAUGCUUGUCUGGUCUUUCUUUAAAUUGCCAGUGUAACAGACACUCAUCUAAAACCAACAUGAUUUUUUACAUGAUUAACUCGGUUGGACCAAAAUUUCAAAAAAAAAUAUAUAUAUAUGCAGUACAAUCAAGGCCUAGGAUAAUUAUCCUCUUAUUAAAAAAACCUUUAAAAAAAAUUCAAAAGGUGAUGUAUGUAUGCAGAUAAAUGACUGGAUGAUACAAGAUGUAGAACCAAGCAUAAGCCAACCAAGUGGGCAACACAUCUUAGGGACUUACUACACAAAUAUUGUCUAGCCAUGCACAUAUAACAAAUAAUAUAUAGGUAAACAUAACACACAAUGCACUUAGUAUACACAUGCUAGAACAAUAAUAAAAAUCAAUUCAAAAACAUUAUUUUCACAAAAUAAAGUCAAUAUUUUUACCAUUAACUAAUACAAUUUGCAAAGGGUCCAAUCAUUCUUUAUUCUUUAUCUUCAAUAUCACUAUAUACUAAAACAGGAGACACUUUUCCUGUUCUUAAGCACAACAAAAAGACUAUUUUGUCCCUUUUUAACUUCUACCAUUAACCACCCUCUCGUUAUCCUUUGCCCAGCAAAGUAACCCAGAGAGUGCUUAAUUUGGCACGUUACAGGAUGCACAGAGUAGAAGAAGUUAGGAGGCUAGUUUUACUAUAACA